GGGUAAUUCGGUCCGCGCUGCUGAUGUCGACCAAAGACAAUUGCUUUGAAAGUUUAAAGUUCAAAUUUUGAUGAAAAUCUUAAAAAUCACAGCGUUUCAAAACAUGUUUAACCAAGUUUCGCUCAGAAUCGUACUUUGUUGGCAUUAUUUUAUCGUUGUGUACAGAUAUUAAUUAAAUUACUCAACGUAGGUAUCCAACCUCUCGUGGUAUACUCAUCAGCAGUGUCAGCUCUUUUCCUUUUUCAAUAACUACCUACUGAUACCGAUAAUUAAUUAAUCUUUUACGCUUUCAAUACUCAUAUAAUGUACUGACAUAGUAGUAGAUAUCAUUCGUAUAUUCGAUAGAAGUUAAUGCGGAAGUUAUUCGCGCCGAGUAUAAAAUUUAUGAAACGUGUACAAUUAAGGGUUUUAUACUGUACCUACCAUAUUAUACCUAUACGUUAUUGCGACC
Molecule: non-coding RNA, 451 nt
Organism: Cinara cedri
Lineage: Eukaryota; Metazoa; Arthropoda; Insecta; Hemiptera; Aphididae
Source: the annotation of a GenBank genome assembly